AGGUUAAGUGAAUAAGGGCGCACGGUGGAUGCCUUGGCACUAGGAGCCGAUGAAGGACGGGACUAACACCGAUAUGCUUUGGGGAGCUGUAAGUAAGCUAUGAUCCAGAGAUUUCCGAAUGGGGGAACCCAGCAUCUUUUAUAGGAUGUUACGUCUGCGUGAAUACAUAGCGCAGUCGAGGUAGACGCAGAGAACUGAAACAUCUAAGUACCUGCAGGAAGAGAAAGAAAAUUCGAUUCCCUGAGUAGCGGCGAGCGAAACGGGAAAAGCCCAAACCAACAAGCUUGCUUGUUGGGGUUGUAGGACUCCGAUAUGGUAGUCUAUUCAGAUAGUCGAAAUACUUGGAAAAGUAUGUCAAAGAGGGUAAAAACCCCGUAGGCGAAAUUUGGAUAACACCUAGGAGGAUCCUGAGUACGGCGGAACACGAGGAAUUCCGUCGGAAUCCGGGAGGACCAUCUCCCAAGGCUAAAUACUCCCUAGUGACCGAUAGUGAACCAGUACCGUGAGGGAAAGGUGAAAAGCACCCCGGAAGGGGAGUGAAAUAGAUCCUGAAACCGUGUGCCUACAACAAGUUAGAGCCCGUUAAUGGGUGAUAGCGUGCCUUUUGUAGAAUGAACCGGCGAGUUACGAUAGCAUGCGAGGUUAAGUUGAAGAGACGGAGCCGCAGCGAAAGCGAGUCUGAAUAGGGCGAAUGAGUAUGUUGUCGUAGACCCGAAACCAUGUGAUCUACCCAUGUCCAGGUUGAAGGUGCGGUAAAACGCACUGGAGGACCGAACCCACGUACGUUGAAAAGUGCGGGGAUGAGGUGUGGGUAGCGGAGAAAUUCCAAACGAACUUGGAGAUAGCUGGUUCUCUCCGAAAUAGCUUUAGGGCUAGCCUCGGAAUUGAGAAUGAUGGAGGUAGAGCACUGUUUGGACUAGGGGCCCAUCUCGGGUUACCGAAUUCAGAUAAACUCCGAAUGCCAUUCAUUCAUAUCCGGGAGUCAGACUGUGAGUGAUAAGAUCCAUAGUCGAAAGGGAAACAGCCCAGACCACCAGCUAAGGUCCCCAAAUAACUAUUAAGUGGAAAAGGAUGUGGGGUUGCACAGACAACUAGGAUGUUGGCUUAGAAGCAGCCACCAUUUAAAGAGUGCGUAAUAGCUCACUAGUCGAGUGACCCUGCGCCGAAAAUGUACCGGGGCUAAAUAGUUUACCGAAGCUGUGGAGUGCACCAUCAGGUGCAUUGGUAGGAGAGCGUUCUAAGGGCGUUGAAGGCAGAUCGUGAGGACUGCUGGAGCGCUUAGAAGUGAGAAUGCCGGUAUGAGUAGCGAAAGACAGGUGAGAAUCCUGUCCACCGAAUGACUAAGGUUUCCUGGGGAAGGCUCGUCCGCCCAGGGUUAGUCGGGACCUAAGCCGAGGCCGACAGGCGUAGGCGAUGGACAACAGGUUGAUAUUCCUGUACCCGUUGUUUUUGUUUGAGCAAUGGAGGGACGCAGGAGGCUAAGAAGUGCAGACUGAUGGAUAUGUCUGUUCAAGCAGUAAGUCUUGGUAGGAGUCAAAUGCUUCUACCUAUACGGACAAGCUGUGAUGAGGAGGGAAAUAAUAGUACCGAAGCUUCUGAUGUCACACUGCCAAGAAAAGCUUCUAGUGAGAAAACAACGGCCCGUACCGCAAACCGACACAGGUAGUCGAGGAGAGAAUCCUAAGGUGAGCGAGAGAACUCUCGUUAAGGAACUCGGCAAAAUGACCCCGUAACUUCGGGAGAAGGGGUGCUGCUCUAACGAGCAGCCGCAGUGAAUAGGCCCAAGCGACUGUUUAUCAAAAACACAGGUCUCUGCAAAAUCGAAAGAUGACGUAUAGGGGCUGACGCCUGCCCGGUGCUGGAAGGUUAAGAGGAGU
RNAcentral lists this ribosomal RNA (1877 nucleotides) under Listeria monocytogenes. Its description in RNAcentral is "partial 23S ribosomal RNA". It matches the Rfam family "Bacterial large subunit ribosomal RNA", at positions 1 to 1887 of the family's 2925-position model. The record is from RNAcentral. Lineage: Bacteria; Bacillati; Bacillota; Bacilli; Caryophanales; Listeriaceae.